CCUACGGGGGGCAGCAGUGAGGAAUAUUGGUCAAUGGGCGCGAGCCUGAACCAGCCAAGUCGCGUGAGGGAAGACGGUCCUAUGGAUUGUAAACCUCUUUUAUAAAGGAAUAAAACGAGGCACGUGUGCCUCUUUGCAUGUACUUUAUGAAUAAGGAUCGGCUAACUCCGUGCCAGCAGCCGCGGUAAUACGGAGGAUCCGAGCGUUAUCCGGAUUUAUUGGGUUUAAAGGGAGCGUAGAUGGGUUGUUAAGUCAGUUGUGAAAGUUUGCGGCUCAACCGUAAAAUUGCAAUUGAUACUGGCAGUCUUGAGUACAGUUGAGGUAGGCGGAAUUCGUGGUGUAGCAGUGAAAUGCUUAGAUAUCACGAAGAACCCCGAUUGCGAAGGCAGCUUACUAAACUGUGACUGACAUUGAUGCUCGAAAGUGUGGGUAUCAAACAGGAUUAGAUACCCUAGUAGUC
Molecule: ribosomal RNA, 460 nt
Filed under: uncultured bacterium
Lineage: Bacteria
Description: partial 16S ribosomal RNA
Rfam family: Bacterial small subunit ribosomal RNA
Source: RNAcentral